Molecule: unclassified non-coding RNA, 212 nt
Filed under: Hevea brasiliensis (rubber tree)
Lineage: Eukaryota; Viridiplantae; Streptophyta; Magnoliopsida; Malpighiales; Euphorbiaceae
Source: RNAcentral
ACUUCAUCCAUCAGAAGCACAUCUGUCCAAAUUACUCGCAACAUGGCAACAAGGUCUGUUGAAGAGACCUGCUUCUUGAUGUGCUGUUUUGUGGCUUCAAAGUGCUUUGUAGCUAACUCUUUUGCAAGUCUAAAGAGCUGUUGUUCGGAAUCAGGGAAAAUAACUCGAUAAGCGCGGACAGCCUCAGCAAAUUCACGAAUAGAAGCCUCAUG